RNAcentral lists this ribosomal RNA (535 nucleotides) under uncultured bacterium. Its description in RNAcentral is "partial 16S ribosomal RNA". It matches the Rfam family "Bacterial small subunit ribosomal RNA", at positions 355 to 899 of the family's 1533-position model. The record is from RNAcentral.
UGGGGAAUAUUGCACAAUGGGCGCAAGCCUGAUGCAGCAACGCCGCGUGAGGGAUGACGGCCUUCGGGUUGUAAACCUCUUUUAGUAGGGAAGAAGCGAAAGUGACGGUACCUGCAGAAAAAGCACCGGCUAACUACGUGCCAGCAGCCGCGGUAAUACGUAGGGUGCGAGCGUUGUCCGGAAUUAUUGGGCGUAAAGAGCUCGUAGGCGGUCUGUCGCGUCUGCUGUGAAAACCCGAGGCUCAACCUCGGGCCUGCAGUGGGUACGGGCAGACUAGAGUGCGGUAGGGGAGAAUGGAAUUCCUGGUGUAGCGGUGGAAUGCGCAGAUAUCAGGAGGAACACCGAUGGCGAAGGCAGUUCUCUGGGCCGUAACUGACGCUGAGGAGCGAAAGCGUGGGGAGCGAACAGGAUUAGAUACCCUGGUAGUCCACGCCGUAAACGUUGGGCGCUAGAUGUGGGGACCAUUCCACGGUUUCCGUGUCGCAGCUAACGCAUUAAGCGCCCCGCCUGGGGGAGUACGGCCGCAAGGCUAAAA